UGCCUCCACGGAAGCAAUGAUGACGUCCAAGCUACCGCAUGGACGUGACGGCACUUGACCAAUCAUCGCUCCCUAUGUAAAUACGGACCCGAGGGUCUUUCCAGAUUGGCUGCCUCCGACCGGCCCGUUGUGACGUAAUUGAGGGUGACACUGGGUUUGAGGUCAGAGGGCGGAGCGGUUGCUGUGAGUAAACAGGUUGUUGUGGGAGAGGAUUAAUGUACCUGAACCUGGGUCCCGGGGCGAGGCCCACUGCAUCUCCCGGGGAGUUGGGAAAGCCCGGACCUGUUGAUGGCCUUCCUUCCCGGUCUGCAUUGCUGUCCAGAUGUGAGGCUCUUUAAGUUUUCAAACUGGGGUGUACGACGUUAUCCUCAGUAAUCGAAUCGGGUUAUGUUGAUCUGAUUUGGCAGGUAGCCUGUAUUAACACACACGCUGUGCCUCGGUGUAGAAGUUGCUU
Chiloscyllium plagiosum (whitespotted bambooshark) is the source of this 454-nucleotide non-coding RNA. The record is from RefSeq and is a predicted model, not a curated record. NCBI's taxonomy places the organism in Eukaryota, Metazoa, Chordata, Chondrichthyes, Orectolobiformes, Hemiscylliidae.